AGAUUGAACGCUGGCGGCAUGCUUUACACAUGCAAGUCGAACGGUAACAGGCCGCAAGGUGCUGACGAGUGGCGAACGGGUGAGUAAUGCAUCGGAACGUGCCCAGUCGUGGGGGGAUAACGCAGCGAAAGCUGUGCUAAUACCGCAUACGAUCUAUGGAUGAAAGCGGGGGACCGAAAGGCCUCGCGCGAUUGGAGCGGCCGAUGUCAGAUUAGCUAGUUGGUGGGGUAAAGGCCCACCAAGGCGACGAUCUGUAGCUGGUCUGAGAGGACGACCAGCCACACUGGAACUGAGACACGGUCCAGACUCCUACGGGAGGCAGCAGUGGGGAAUUUUGGACAAUGGGCGCAAGCCUGAUCCAGCAAUGCCGCGUGCAGGAAGAAGGCCUUCGGUGUAAACUGCUUUGUACGGAACGAAACGGUCUAGGUUAAUACCUACGGUCUAAGUGACGUACCGUAAGAAUAAGCACCGGACCAACUACGUGACCAGCAGCCGA
This 496-nucleotide ribosomal RNA is filed under the name uncultured soil bacterium. RNAcentral's name for it is "bacterial SSU rRNA". It matches the Rfam family "Bacterial small subunit ribosomal RNA", at positions 26 to 518 of the family's 1533-position model. The record is from RNAcentral.